GACGAACGCUGGCGGCGUGCUUAACACAUGCAAGUCGAACGGUAAGGCCCUUCGGGGUACACGAGUGGCGAACGGGUGAGUAACACGUGGGUGAUCUGCCCUGCACUUCGGGAUAAGCCUGGGAAACUGGGUCUAAUACCGGAUAGGAUCACUGCCUGCAUGGGUGGUGGUGGAAAACUUUUGCGGUGUGGGAUGGGCCCGCGGCCUAUCAGCUUGUUGGUGGGGUGAUGGCCUACCAAGGCGACGACGGGUAGCCGGCCUGAGAGGGUGACCGGCCACACUGGGACUGAGAUACGGCCCAGACUCCUACGGGAGGCAGCAGUGGGGAAUAUUGCACAAUGGGCGCAAGCCUGAUGCAGCGACGCCGCGUGAGGGAUGACGGCCUUCGGGUUGUAAACCUCUUUCAGCACCGACGAAGCGCAAGUGACGGUAGGUGCAGAAGAAGGACCGGCCAACUACGUGCCAGCAGCCGCAGUAA
This 478-nucleotide ribosomal RNA is filed under the name uncultured bacterium. Its description in RNAcentral is "partial 16S ribosomal RNA". It matches the Rfam family "Bacterial small subunit ribosomal RNA", at positions 28 to 523 of the family's 1533-position model. The record is from RNAcentral.